This 352-nucleotide long non-coding RNA is filed under the name Panax ginseng (ginseng). RNAcentral's name for it is "long non-coding RNA (PGIN_LNC014008)". The record is from RNAcentral. Lineage: Eukaryota; Viridiplantae; Streptophyta; Magnoliopsida; Apiales; Araliaceae.
GAAAAAUUAUCAUUAAUUAUCCUAGAUUUAAACAAACGUCAAAUAAUUAAAAUUAAAUAAAAAACUUUAAAACAUCAAAUAAUUAAGGACGGAGGAAGUAUUAAACUAAACUCAUAGUCCAUCGGAAAAUCCACCAAAUCGACUGUAAUUUGGGCUGUCGAUUGGGUAGCCGAAGAUGCGGCUCACCAGUCACCAUGCUCAUCUCCACACUUGGAAAGCAUUGGGUUAACCCAGAAAGAAGUGUACAACAAAAAUAUUAACGUAAACCUGAUUGAAGAUAGUUACAGUAUAUUAUUGGUGGUCCCUUCCCUUCAAAUUGGUAUAAAAAAAUUGAGUUGCACGGAGUAAAAAG